UACAACUAUAAAGUGAUAAUG
RNAcentral lists this non-coding RNA (21 nucleotides) under Caenorhabditis elegans. The record is from RNAcentral. Lineage: Eukaryota; Metazoa; Nematoda; Chromadorea; Rhabditida; Rhabditidae.